This 451-nucleotide ribosomal RNA is filed under the name uncultured bacterium. RNAcentral's name for it is "bacterial SSU rRNA". It matches the Rfam family "Bacterial small subunit ribosomal RNA", at positions 354 to 796 of the family's 1533-position model. The record is from RNAcentral.
GUGGGGAAUAUUGGACAAUGGGGGGAACCCUGAUCCAGCCAUGCCGCGUGUGUGAAGAAGGCCUUUUGGUUGUAAAGCACUUUAAGCGAGGAGGAGGCUACCGAGAUUAAUACUCUUGGAUAGUGGACGUUACUCGCAGAAUAAGCACCGGCUAACUCUGUGCCAGCAGCCGCGGUAAUACAGAGGGUACAAGCGUUAAUCGGAUUUACUGGGCGUAAAGCGCGCGUAGGUGGCCAAUUAAGUCAAAUGUGAAAUCCCCGAGCUUAACUUGGGAAUUGCAUUCGAUACUGGUUGGCUAGAGUAUGGGAGAGGAUGGUAGAAUUCCAGGUGUAGCGGUGAAAUGCGUAGAGAUCUGGAGGAAUACCGAUGGCGAAGGCAGCCAUCUGGCCUAAUACUGACACUGAGGUGCGAAAGCAUGGGGAGCAAACAGGAUUAGAAACCCUUGUAGUCC